GAUGAAGAACGUAGCGAAAUGCGAUACUUGGUGUGAAUUGCAGAAUCCCGUGAACCAUCGAGUCUUUGAACGCAAGUUGCGCCCGAAGCCAUUAGGCCGAGGGCACGCCUGCCUGGGCGUCACACGUCGUUGCCCCCCCAUCUACUCCUUCGGGAUUGCGGGGGGCGGAUGAUGGCCUCCCGUGCGCCUCGCCGCGCGGUUGGCAUAAAUGCCAAGUCCUCGGCGACGCACGCCACGACAAUCGGUGGUUGCGAAACCUCGGUUGCCCGUCGUGUGCGGUCGUCGCGCAUCGAGGGCUCGAAAAAAAUUGCCGGGUUCCGGCUCGGCUUUCAACGCGACCCCAGGUCAGGCGGGGUUACCCGCUGAAUUUAAGCAUAUCAAUAAGCGGAGGA
RNAcentral lists this unclassified non-coding RNA (392 nucleotides) under soil metagenome. RNAcentral describes it as "partial contains 5.8S ribosomal RNA, internal transcribed spacer 2, and large subunit ribosomal RNA". The stretch from base 1 to 122 matches the Rfam family "5.8S ribosomal RNA", at positions 35 to 154 of the family's 154-position model. The record is from RNAcentral.